RNAcentral lists this transfer RNA (77 nucleotides) under Dehalococcoidia bacterium. Its description in RNAcentral is "tRNA-Val". It matches the Rfam family "tRNA". From Rfam's summary of the family: Transfer RNA (tRNA) molecules are approximately 80 nucleotides in length. Their secondary structure includes four short double-helical elements and three loops (D, anti-codon, and T loops). Further hydrogen bonds mediate the characteristic L-shaped molecular structure. tRNAs have two regions of fundamental functional importance: the anti-codon, which is responsible for specific mRNA codon recognition, and the 3' end, to which the tRNAs corresponding amino acid is attached (by aminoacyl-tRNA synthetases). tRNAs cope with the degeneracy of the genetic code in two manners: having more than one tRNA (with a specific anti-codon) for a particular amino acid; and 'wobble' base-pairing, i.e. permitting non-standard base-pairing at the 3rd anti-codon position. Lineage: Bacteria; Bacillati; Chloroflexota; Dehalococcoidia. The record is from RNAcentral. RNAcentral also lists the same sequence under 1 other name.
GGGCGGUUAGCUCAGCUGGUUAGAGUGCUGCCGUGACAUGGCAGAGGUCAGUGGUUCGAGUCCACUACCGCCCACCA